Molecule: ribosomal RNA, 1332 nt
Filed under: uncultured bacterium
Lineage: Bacteria
Description: bacterial SSU rRNA
Rfam family: Bacterial small subunit ribosomal RNA
Source: RNAcentral
GACGAACGCUGGCGGCGCGCCUAACACAUGCAAGUCGAACGAGCGAGAGAGAGCUUGCUUUCUCGAGCGAGUGGCGAACGGGUGAGUAACGCGUGAGGAACCUGCCUCAAAGAGGGGGACAACAGUUGGAAACGACUGCUAAUACCGCAUAAGCCCACGGCUCGGCAUCGAGCAGAGGGAAAAGGAGCAAUCCGCUUUGAGAUGGCCUCGCGUCCGAUUAGCUAGUUGGUGAGGUAAUGGCCCACCAAGGCAACGAUCGGUAGCCGGACUGAGAGGUUGAACGGCCACAUUGGGACUGAGACACGGCCCAGACUCCUACGGGAGGCAGCAGUGGGGAAUAUUGCACAAUGGGGGAAACCCUGAUGCAGCGACGCCGCGUGGAGGAAGAAGGUCUUCGGAUUGUAAACUCCUGUUGUUGGGGAAGAUAAUGACGGUACCCAACAAGGAAGUGACGGCUAACUACGUGCCAGCAGCCGCGGUAAAACGUAGGUCACAAGCGUUGUCCGGAAUUACUGGGUGUAAAGGGAGCGCAGGCGGGAAGACAAGUUGGAAGUGAAAUCUAUGGGCUCAACCCAUAAACUGCUUUCAAAACUGUUUUUCUUGAGUAGUGCAGAGGUAGGCGGAAUUCCCGGUGUAGCGGUGGAAUGCGUAGAUAUCGGGAGGAACACCAGUGGCGAAGGCGGCCUACUGGGCACCAACUGACGCUGAGGCUCGAAAGUGUGGGUAGCAAACAGGAUUAGAUACCCUGGUAGUCCACACCGUAAACGAUGAUUACUAGGUGUUGGAGGAUUGACCCCUUCAGUGCCGCAGUUAACACAAUAAGUAAUCCACCUGGGGAGUACGACCGCAAGGUUGAAACUCAAAGGAAUUGACGGGGGCCCGCACAAGCAGUGGAGUAUGUGGUUUAAUUCGACGCAACGCGAAGAACCUUACCAAGUCUUGACAUCCCUUGACAGGCAUAGAAAUAUGUUUUCUCUUCGGAGCAAGGAGACAGGUGGUGCAUGGUUGUCGUCAGCUCGUGUCGUGAGAUGUUGGGUUAAGUCCCGCAACGAGCGCAACCCUUAUGGUCAGUUACUACGCAAGAGGACUCUGGCCAGACUGCCGUUGACAAAACGGAGGAAGGUGGGGAUGACGUCAAAUCAUCAUGCCCUUUAUGACUUGGGCUACACACGUACUACAAUGGCGUUAAACAAAGAGAAGCAAGACCGCGAGGUGGAGCAAAACUCAGAAACAACGUCCCAGUUCGGACUGCAGGCUGCAACUCGCCUGCACGAAGUCGGAAUUGCUAGUAAUCGUGGAUCAGCAUGCCACGGUGAAUACGUUCCCGGGCCU